Molecule: ribosomal RNA, 247 nt
Filed under: uncultured bacterium
Lineage: Bacteria
Description: partial 16S ribosomal RNA
Rfam family: Bacterial small subunit ribosomal RNA
Source: RNAcentral
GCAAGUCGAACGCGAAAGCACCUUCGGGAGCAAGUAGAGUGGCGGACGGGUGAGUAACGAGUAGGAAUAUACCAAGUAGUGGGGGAUAGCCCGGUGAAACUCGGAUUAAUACCGCAUAUGUCUCACGAGAUAAAGAGGGCCUCUUCUUGAAAGCUCUUGCUACUAGAUUAGCCUGCGUCGGAUUAGCUUGUUGGUAGGGUAAUGGCCUACCAAGGCGACGAUCCGUAGCUGGUCUGAGAGGAUGAUC